AACGAACGCUGGCGGCGUGGAUUAGGCAUGCAAGUCGAGCGAGAAAGCGGUCUUCGGACCGUGAGUAAAGCGGCGAACUGGUGAGUAACAGGUGGGUAAUGUGCCCUGAAGUGGGGGAUAACACGGGGAAACUCGUGCUAAUACCGAAUGUGGCCUUGAGGACCCUGGUCCGAUAGGUCAAAGGCUUCGGUCGCUUCAGGAUCGGCCCGUCCCCGAUUAGCUUGUUGGUGAGGUCAAAGCUCACCAAGGCGACGAUCGGUAGCUGGUCUGAGAGGAUGGUCAGCCACACUGGGACUGAGAUACGGCCCAGACUCCUACGGGAGGCAG
RNAcentral lists this ribosomal RNA (327 nucleotides) under uncultured Candidatus Sumerlaeota bacterium. RNAcentral describes it as "bacterial SSU rRNA". It matches the Rfam family "Bacterial small subunit ribosomal RNA", at positions 29 to 351 of the family's 1533-position model. Lineage: Bacteria; Candidatus Sumerlaeota. The record is from RNAcentral.